CUAUAUUUCACUUUAUUAAAUUAAAAAUAAUAUUUAUAUUAUUGCUUAUUUUCACAGCAGAUUCAUCAUGGGGCUCUCCUCAUCAUUUUACAUGGACUCAUCCUCUUCCAUGGCUUUCUUUUGUCGACGGUGAUCCCCAUUUUAUGGUACAUGUGCCCCAAUCUGAUAUAUACGUUUGCUUUAACGUCAUGGGACUCCCUGGUGAUAUUUACCGUCUCAUCCAAGAUUCUGAACACGGUA
Molecule: long non-coding RNA, 240 nt
Organism: Anneissia japonica
Lineage: Eukaryota; Metazoa; Echinodermata; Crinoidea; Comatulida; Comatulidae
Exons: 4
Source: RefSeq, a predicted model, not a curated record